GCCCUCCAAGGUGGAAGAGUGUUCGAGGAAGCCUCCAAACGUACCCGGCGGGGUGCCUUCGUCGUGUUUUCGUCAUCACCUGAAGAAGAGAGCCCACCAUCUUUUCACAACGCUUUGUAAACCGUGAAAGCUUUGUGCUCUCUUUUUGCAUUGGACUGCUCAAAUACGGCCUCCGUUAUCACCCUGGGUUUGAUUACGCCGUAACUAGCUAUC
RNAcentral lists this long non-coding RNA (213 nucleotides) under Elaeis guineensis (African oil palm). RNAcentral's name for it is "long non-coding RNA (EGUI_LNC030385)". Lineage: Eukaryota; Viridiplantae; Streptophyta; Magnoliopsida; Arecales; Arecaceae. The record is from RNAcentral.